AGAUAAAAUAUGCAAGUACUAAUAACCGUAAAUCUGGUGUGACAGAAUUCCCUUUAAGAUGCAUGCAAAAAGUUUGCUCUGACCAGCCCAAUCUGUUAGCUGCAUGACAAGUAUAGUUCCCUGUAUUAGAUCUUCUUCUGUUACUUGGAAUAGAGACAGCGUAUGGAGACCUGUAUAUGUGUUUGUCGACAUCUUAUACUUUCCCUGCAAACAUUCAACAUUCAUUAAUCAUUGUAAAAUGAAUAUAUCAAAAAUCAAUUUGAUAAAAGAAGUAAAAAAAUAUAAAUGAAGGAAUAA
Molecule: long non-coding RNA, 297 nt
Organism: Eurytemora carolleeae
Lineage: Eukaryota; Metazoa; Arthropoda; Copepoda; Calanoida; Temoridae
Exons: 3
Source: RefSeq, a predicted model, not a curated record